GUGGGAGUAGCUCAGGUGGUUAGAGCACCAGGUUGUGGCCCUGGGGGCCGCGGGUUCGAGUCCCGUCUUCCACC
Molecule: transfer RNA, 74 nt
Filed under: bacterium SM23_31
Lineage: Bacteria
Also listed under: 1 other name
Description: tRNA-His
Rfam family: tRNA
About the family: Transfer RNA (tRNA) molecules are approximately 80 nucleotides in length. Their secondary structure includes four short double-helical elements and three loops (D, anti-codon, and T loops). Further hydrogen bonds mediate the characteristic L-shaped molecular structure. tRNAs have two regions of fundamental functional importance: the anti-codon, which is responsible for specific mRNA codon recognition, and the 3' end, to which the tRNAs corresponding amino acid is attached (by aminoacyl-tRNA synthetases). tRNAs cope with the degeneracy of the genetic code in two manners: having more than one tRNA (with a specific anti-codon) for a particular amino acid; and 'wobble' base-pairing, i.e. permitting non-standard base-pairing at the 3rd anti-codon position.
Source: RNAcentral